CCUACGGGUGGCAGCAGUGAGGAAUAUUGGUCAAUGGGCGGGAGCCUGAACCAGCCAAGUCGCGUGAAGGAAGAAGGUACUUAGUAUUGUAAACUUCUUUUGUCGGGGAACCAAGUCGGAGACGCGUCUCCGGAUGAGUGUACCCGAAGAAAAAGCAUCGGCUAACUCCGUGCCAGCAGCCGCGGUAAUACGGAGGUGGCAAGCGUUGUCCGGAUUUACUGGGUGUACAGGGCGUGCAGCCGGGAAGACAAGUCAGAUGUGAAAUCCCGCGGCUCAACCGCGGAACUGCAUUUGAAACUGUUUUUCUUGAGUACCGGAGAGGUCAUCGGAAUUCCUUGUGUAGCGGUGAAAUGCGUAGAUAUAAGGAAGAACACCAGUGGCGAAGGCGGAUGACUGGACGGCAACUGACGGUGAGGCGCGAAAGCGUGGGGAGCAAACAGGAUUAGAUACCCGAGUAGUC
Molecule: ribosomal RNA, 460 nt
Filed under: uncultured bacterium
Lineage: Bacteria
Description: partial 16S ribosomal RNA
Rfam family: Bacterial small subunit ribosomal RNA
Source: RNAcentral